RNAcentral lists this unclassified non-coding RNA (2217 nucleotides) under Leishmania donovani. RNAcentral's name for it is "gene:LdHU3.28.1720(CDS-product:hypothetical_prote in_conserved)". Lineage: Eukaryota; Euglenozoa; Kinetoplastea; Trypanosomatida; Trypanosomatidae. The record is from RNAcentral.
UCAUGCGUCUGUGUGGCACAUGCUCAGGUGGUGCGUCGUCCCCCCGCCGCACCCCCCUCCUACAUUCUCUCUAUCGAAGCCUUGCACGAGAACCCUCCCCCACCCCUCCUACCCCCAAUACAGCCAAGCGCACAUAUAGAUAGCCCCUCCACCACUCAUCACGUGUAUCAUCAUUCCUACCUGUCUUCUCCUCAUCCCUCCCCCUUAGCCAUGUCCUUCACGUUGAUGGCCUGCACCGAUAUUCGAGGGCAGAAGGUGAACGUUGAGCUCCCCUUUGAGCAGCCGCCCUCCUCGAUGGAAGCGCUGCGCUCUACCCUCGAGCAUCUGUUCCGUCGAGAGGAGGAGGCGAUCAAAUACUCGAUGGGAUACACAGACAUGCGCGCGUGCGAGCCCUUCACGAUCAACCGCCUGCAGCGCUACGACGACGACUCGCAGAGCUGGGCAGAUGUCACAUCCAUUGACGUGCUCCAAACAUACGACCAGCUCUACCUGUUUCGCAAGAACAGCACCAAGGCCGACAUCUCCACCCAGCGGGAGCUGCCACCGCCGAGGAUGUCGGAGUUCUUCUACGACCCGGCUGCCCCUGGGCCCUUUCACACGCCAUGCGGGUCAUCGCGCGUGAACGAGAACGGCGCCGCAGCCGCUUUGGCUCCCACCAGCGGUGGCUACGGCGGGACUGCCUCACCGAGCCAGGCACGUCCCAGCGCUGGAAGUAGUCCCUACAGGGUCGGUGGUGCCUCUGACUCCGCGACAGCAGCACAGCCUCCCGAGAGCUCCCCCGAAGCCGACCCUUACCAGGCGUCAGCGCCGCCGCCUACGUGUGCCGCGGCACUGCCGACACCACCGCCGUCGUCGUCCUUCUACUACAAGGAGCGCACCACACCGGAGCGGGUGGAGUACCUCUUCAGCCUCGGCAGCCAGCACAACGAUAGCGUCGCUCUCACAGAAAAGGCGUUUGAGCACAUUUUUCGCAUGGCCAGCGUUGCCUUCCCGGUCGAGGUUCUGCAGGACCUCUUCGACCACUUCGCCACACGCGGUGAUGGUGGUGUGGGUACGGCGACCAUGAGUCAGGUGGGCUUUCAAGAGUUCGCCACGUACUUCCCGGUCCUGGUAAACAUCGCCUACCAGCGCAUCACAAACCGAAAUCGUGAGGAGGCGAUUCGCGCCGCGCAGCUCGACAACGCAAAGCAGGUAAAACACGCGCGGCGCCAGCUGCAGGAAUUGGAGGCCCGGCUCGAAGCCGCACGCAAGGAGGUGCAGCAGGCCGAGCAGCACGAGGCUCGCCUGCAGGAGGACCUCUACGAUAUUAGCAUGCAGCGUGAUCCGGAGUACUGCCAAGACGAGCAGAAGCUUCUGGACAAGGAGGUGAGCGUCUUCAAGUACCGUGAGCGACUGUCCCGCGAGGAACGCGACUAUGAGAGGCUAGCCAUCGAGCGACGGAAGCGCGCUGUGGCAGCCUCUGCGCGUGCCCGGUCUCACUCCCCACAAGGGGCGUACGACCGGAACCGAUAUGGGCCCCGUGGUUAGAAUGGUGUUUUCUUGCCACCGCAGUCGAAGUCCCGGCACACGCGCAACGAAAAGAAACUGUGUAGCCACAGGAAAGCGGUAGAACAAGGUGCGUGCUACACUGGUGACGGGGCUGGGGGUGCAGAUGCGCGAAAAGCAACAUGCGCGUAAUGCGUUUCUCUCGUAGUACACCGCCACCACCAACACACACACACACACAACUACUGCGACUCUUACAGCGUGUAUUUGUACGUCUGUAUGCGUUUGUAUUUUAAGCCGGUGUGGGUGUGCGGGUGUGUGUGCGCGCAUGCUUGUAUAUGUAUCUGUGCAUCUCCCUACGUGUGAGAUACCCCCGCACAGGCACAUAUACGCAUCAUAGACAAGGCACACACGCGCGCACACACACUGUCAGCGAGGUCGAGCAUCUCAUGUGCUGCAAACGCAGCCACACACAUGCGCACAGAACCAAGACGGAAGGGCCGAACUGGGAAGGGGAGGUGAUGAAGGAUAGUCGUGGCAGCCGUGCGAAAGGAAAUAAAGGGAAAGAAGGAAAGGGGGAGGGUGGUGCAUGAUGCGUUCUGGCGCACACUCUUUUCCUUUUCUUCCCCCUUCGCCCCCAGUAUGAAGGAGAGACAGAAGCGGAACGAUAAGAAUCGCUCUCGCCUUUUCAGCUGUCAACGGCAACAACAUCGGCUACUAGGCAAGACGUCG